CCUACGGGUGGCAGCAGUGAGGAAUAUUGGUCAAUGGGCGGAAGCCUGAACCAGCCAAGUCGCGUGAGGGAAUAAGGCCCUACGGGUCGUAAACCUCUUUUGCCGGGGAGCAACGUCGGGGACGUGUCCCAGCCCGGAGAGUACCCGGAGUAAAAGCAUCGGAUAACUCCGUGCCAGCAGCCGCGGUAAUACGGAGGAUGCGAGCGUUAUCCGGAUUUAUUGGGUUUAAAGGGUGCGUAGGCGGUCUUUUAAGUCAGCGGUAAAAUUGCGGGGCUCAACCCCGCCCGGCCGUUGAAACUGGGGUUCUUGAGUGGGCGAGAAGUAGGCGGAAUGCGUGGUGUAGCGGUGAAAUGCAUAGAUAUCACGCAGAACCCCGAUUGCGAAGGCAGCCUACCGGCGCCCAACUGACGCUGAGGCACGAAAGCGUGGGGAUCGAACAGGAUUAGAUACCCUUGUAGUC
Molecule: ribosomal RNA, 460 nt
Filed under: uncultured bacterium
Lineage: Bacteria
Description: partial 16S ribosomal RNA
Rfam family: Bacterial small subunit ribosomal RNA
Source: RNAcentral